Long non-coding RNA from Medicago truncatula (barrel medic), 358 nucleotides. RefSeq lists it as uncharacterized. The record is from RefSeq and is a predicted model, not a curated record. The transcript is spliced from 3 exons. NCBI's taxonomy places the organism in Eukaryota, Viridiplantae, Streptophyta, Magnoliopsida, Fabales, Fabaceae.
GGGCUGCUUGCUGAAGGUUCUGACUCAGUAGCCGAAGGCGAAGGCACUGUACUUGCAAGCAUAAGUAGUCAUGUAAGGGCAGCAGUUGCAACAUUAGGAGGUAAACAUGGUGCUGCUGGAAGAUCUGAUAAACGGCGACAUCUCUAUGCAGGAUUUACUGUCUGGUUGUCACAUAUUGAAGCAUCAGAUGAAGAUUCAGCAAGGGAGGAGACACACAGAAACAUCAAAGAUCGCAUAACUGCAUAUACCAAUGCAGAUGUGGUUGUGAAAUUAUAGGGAUGGGAUCCUGCUUAUGCUAAAAGUGUGGCACAGGGAUGUUUGAGUGCCCUAAAACAGUUAAUCCUAUCAAACAAGAAAC